AUGAAGAAGAGGAAAAGAGGGAAGGUUGUGAGGUCGCGAUGUCCGGCCCACCUUUACAUCACCCACACGGAUGCGUGGUGGAGAGUCAAACACUUCAACGACGACCACAACCACCCUCUAAUAAGAAAGCCGUCCUUGACAAAGUUCCUAUCAUCACAUAGGAACAUUCCAAAAGAUGAGCAGGACUUCUUGAAGAUAUUGCACGGAUGCAACAUAGAGACAGCCAGACAGAUGCAACUAAUGGAAUGGUUCUACGGGAAUCCUAAAGAUGUACCAUACACAACAAAGGACAUUGCAAACCAACGAGCUAAAUUCCGGAUGGAGUACCGCCAUGCUGAUGUCGGGAGCACAAUCUCGUACUUCCAAGAUAUGAAGGCACAAGAUCUAGAUUUCUAUUGGAGAAUAAAGUUUGAUGAUGAGGACAGAGUGGAGAAUUUAUUCUGGAUAGAUGGUGCGUUGCGCAGGGCAUAUGCUAGAUACAAUGAUAUCAUCUCAUUUGACACAACAUACAUGACAAACAUGUACAAAAUGCCCUAUGCACCCUUCAUUGGCAUUAAUAACCAUGGGCAGUCGAUCCAAUUUGGUUGUGGGUUUAUUCGAAACGAACUAUCUGGUAACUUUGUGUGGCUGUUUAAUGCAUUCUUGCAUGCAAUGGAUGGAAUUGCGCCAAAGAACAUAAUAACAGAUCAAGAUUUUGCAAUGAGAAGUGCUAUUGAUGAGGUGUUCAUCGGGAUAGUACACAGGAAUUGCCGCUGGCAUAUAAUGAAAAAAGCACAAGAGAAGCUUGGGAAGCUGAUGGCUGACAAUGACCCACUAAACAAUGCAUUCAAGGAUUUUGUUGACAACAACCUGACUGGUAUUUUACUUCCCACCCCUCACUAG
RNAcentral lists this ribosomal RNA (882 nucleotides) under Triticum aestivum (bread wheat). RNAcentral's name for it is "partial small subunit ribosomal RNA". The record is from RNAcentral. Lineage: Eukaryota; Viridiplantae; Streptophyta; Magnoliopsida; Poales; Poaceae.